GAUACUCUGAUUACCAUGUAAAGAAUGAUGGAACCGUCGUUGCCUAGCUUGGCUGCCCACGAGUUACAUGUUCAUAUAGCAGCAAUUGCCGAUAGGAUUUACAGGAGUUUGUUAGCCUCGGUUCAGGUUGUUGUUCAACUUAAGUUACAAGAUAAAAUCUACUCUAUCUCUAAGCAACAACCCAAUCCGAGCAUAACAAGAUUUGCAUGGGAUUACAAGUAGGAAAUCUCAACUACUUCUAACAAGCAAGGCUCAAC
Molecule: long non-coding RNA, 257 nt
Filed under: Setaria viridis
Lineage: Eukaryota; Viridiplantae; Streptophyta; Magnoliopsida; Poales; Poaceae
Description: long non-coding RNA (SVIR_LNC003756)
Source: RNAcentral